GGAGAGAUGGCUCAGAGGUUAAGAGCACUGGCUGCUCUUCCAGAGGUCCUGAGUUCAAUUCCCAGCUCCC
Molecule: non-coding RNA, 70 nt
Organism: Cricetulus griseus (Chinese hamster)
Lineage: Eukaryota; Metazoa; Chordata; Mammalia; Rodentia; Cricetidae
Source: Rfam